CCGCCAUUAGCUCAGCAGGUAGAGCGUUGCUUUUGUUUUAGGAAGUAGGGCCGGGGUUCGAUUCCUCGAUGGCGGC
RNAcentral lists this transfer RNA (76 nucleotides) under Samsonia erythrinae. Its description in RNAcentral is "tRNA-Ser". It matches the Rfam family "tRNA". From Rfam's summary of the family: Transfer RNA (tRNA) molecules are approximately 80 nucleotides in length. Their secondary structure includes four short double-helical elements and three loops (D, anti-codon, and T loops). Lineage: Bacteria; Pseudomonadati; Pseudomonadota; Gammaproteobacteria; Enterobacterales; Pectobacteriaceae. The record is from RNAcentral.